Molecule: non-coding RNA, 71 nt
Organism: Pelobates cultripes (western spadefoot toad)
Lineage: Eukaryota; Metazoa; Chordata; Amphibia; Anura; Pelobatidae
Source: the annotation of a GenBank genome assembly
CUCUGUGUCAUUUUACACAGCGUGGGAAAGUUCUUUGGAAUUUUCCCACACUGUGUAAAAAUGACACAGAG